This is an RNA transcript of Nicotiana tabacum (common tobacco), 4292 nucleotides long. It is a transcript of the gene named mitogen-activated protein kinase kinase kinase YODA, with no coding region annotated. The record is from RefSeq and is a predicted model, not a curated record. NCBI's taxonomy places the organism in Eukaryota, Viridiplantae, Streptophyta, Magnoliopsida, Solanales, Solanaceae.
AGCUCAGAUUCUGUUUACUUCACUGUAACGUAGACUAAUUAUAGUGAUUUAUGCGCAUAAAUCUGUUUUUUAUUUGUGUGCAGUUAAUGGAUUUAUUUAAAGUUUCAUUUGAGCUUGUUUAAUUAUUUUAUUUAUGGAUCAAUAAUGGAUUUUGAUUGCUUCCACUUGCUUAAAUUUUAGGAAAAUUUUGAAGUCUAAGAAUUUAGGGUUUUGACUUAGUUCUUACGGUGAUUUAUGCACAUAAUUGUGUUUUAUUUACUGUUAGUGAGUAUUUAAGUUUUCAUUCGAGCUUUUCUAAAAAUUGUUUAUGGAUCAAAAAUGGAUUUUUGAUUGCUUCCACUUCUUAAAUUCAGUGAAUUUUUUUUAUCUUUGCAACUCAAGAAUGAUUGGGGUUUGUAUUUGAAAUUAGUAGGUGUUGAUGGUUUCAUUUUCAGCUAUUUUUCUUUAUUGUUUAUUGAACAAGAUUUGAAUUUGAUUGCUUCCACAGUGAAAUUCAGGCAAGUUUUAUCUUCACAAGUCAUAGAAUUUAGUGCUUUGACUUUUGUGUUUCCUUUUUCGGUUUGGUAUGCUGCUCGAGCACUUUCUUGCUAACCUAGUAAGUGAAUUAUCGCUUUGACUUUUGCAUAAGUCAGCCUAGUUUUAUGUUGACCUCACUGUAAUGUACAUAUGCAUUACAGUAAUACAGUAAUAUAUGCAUGUGAUUGUAUUUUAUUUGCAAUUAGUGGGUGGUUAAGGUUUUAUCUUGUUCCGUGAUCAGAUUUUAACUUAUUGCUUCUGCAGCUAAAAAUUGGGAAAAUCAUGUUCUUUGCAAGUUUAAUAAUUUUAGUUUCAGACGCAUACAGAUAUGCUCAGGAAACCUUUUCUGGAUAACUACUUCAGUUAGCACAUGUGAGCACAUCCACUAGGAAGCAUAAUGAAAAAUAUUCAGGUAACAAAGAGGUUUGCCUUUUGAUUUCAUUCUCGGGGAGCUUAGGAGGAUGUAUCUGCUAUAUGAAAUGUCUGGUGUGAUGGUAAUUUCCUUUGAGUUGCUGUGCUAUAAGGAGUCAAGACUGACUUCUAAGCCUUUGUGCAUGCAUUGGUUAGAAAUGAACUCUGAUGCUCUUUGACGGACUGAACUAAUCACUAUGAGCCCUUCUAUGACAAAAAAGCAUAUUCAAAGGAACUCCUCAUAGGAUUUAGCUAUUUACUGGUUUUAUUCAGCUAAGAUUUUGGUAUACGCUACAGUUGACUGUCCUUGCUCACGAUAAUCUCAUAUAGCAAUGCGUUCAUGGUGGGGGAAGUCUUCAUCUAAGGAUGUAAGGAGGAAAUCCAAGAAGGAACGUUUCAUUGAUACAAUAAGUAGGAAACUGAAGAUUUUCACCGAGGAAAAAUCGAGUGGUAAAUCUGGAUCAUCUCGAAGAAGAUGUAAUGAUAUUAUUUCAGAAAAGGGUUCUCAAUCAAGGGUUUCCAGGUCACCAUCACCAUCUACGCCAGCUUCAUGCUGUCAGAGCUUUGUUGAUAGGACUUCUUCUCAACCACUUCCCCUUCCUGAGGGUCACUUUUCUAAUGUACAUCUUGUCGACUCUGAGAACAGUGCAUCCAUAAAAUCAGUGACUAGUGGAGACUCCAAGCCAUCAUUGACUUUGCCUCUUCCCAUGCCUAGGCAUCCUCCAAAUGGACCAGCUGCUACAGGGGUUGACAAGGACUUACCAACUGCUUCUGUUUCAUGUGACAGCUCCAGUGACAGUGAUGACCCUGCUGACUCACGGCUUCUUAGCCCCCAAACAUCUGAUUAUGAAAACGGGAGCAGAACUGCCUUGAAUAGUCCUUCCAGUUUGAAGCAGAAGGUUCAAUCUCCUAUUGCAUCCAAAGCAAGUCCAGGAGAGUCUAACAAUCAGGUGAUCCCUACAUCUCCUAGACAGAGGCUUUUAAACUCUCAUGUGGCAGACUUACAGAUUCCUCAUCAUGGUGUUAUCUAUAGUGCUCCUGACAGCUCGAUGUCAAGUCCUUCAAGAAGUCCCAUGAGGGUAUUCGGGCAUGAACCGGUCAUGAACUUUGGUUUCUGGCUAGGGAAGCCACAUGGAGACAUAACCUUAUUAGGAUCAGGGCACUGCUCUAGUCCAGGUUCAGUCCAGAAUUCAGGACAAAAUUCAAUUGGAGGUGAUAUGUCAGCACAGCCCUUUUGGCCACACAGCAGGUGUAGUCCUGAGUGUUCACCUGUACCUAGCCCCAGAAUGACUAGUCCUGCUCCUGGCUCUAGGAUACAUAGUGGUGCUGUAACUCCUUUGCAUCCUCGAUCUGGUGGGACAUCGGCUGAAUCUUCCACAGCCUGGCUUGAUGAUGGAAAACAGCAAAGUCACCGGCUGCCUCUUCCUCCCAUAUCAAUCCCUCAUUCUCAUUUUUCUCCAUAUUCAGUGGCUCCUGCAAUUCCACGAAGUCCUGGUAGGACAGAAAAUCCUCCAAUCCCAGGGUCACGAUGGAAGAAAGGACGUCUGAUUGGCAGAGGCACAUUUGGACAUGUGUACCUUGGUUUUAACAGUGAAAGUGGUGAGAUGUGUGCAAUGAAGGAAGUAACACUUUUUUCAGAUGAUGCUAAGUCAAGAGAGAGUGCACAGCAACUUGGACAAGAAAUAUCACUGCUAAGUCGGUUGCGCCAUCCAAAUAUCGUGCAAUAUUAUGGAUCUGAGUCGGUAGAUGACAAACUAUACAUAUACCUUGAGUAUGUCUCUGGUGGUUCAAUCUAUAAAAUUCUUCAAGAAUAUGGUCAGUUGGGUGAGCUAGCAAUUCAAAGUUACACUAAGCAAAUUUUGUCUGGGCUAGCAUAUUUGCAUGCUAAAAACACAGUGCAUAGAGAUAUUAAAGGGGCAAACAUACUGGUUGACCCAAGUGGCCGCGUUAAAUUGGCAGAUUUUGGGAUGGCAAAACAUAUAACUGGUCAAUACUGUCCUUUGUCUUUCAAGGGAAGUCCUUAUUGGAUGGCGCCUGAGGUUAUUAAAAAUUCAAGUGGUUGCAAUCUUGCGGUAGAUAUAUGGAGCCUUGGAUGUACAAUUCUGGAGAUGGCAACGACAAAACCACCUUGGAGUCAGUAUGAGGGGGUUGCUGCUAUAUUUAAGAUUGGAAACAGCAAGGAACUCCCUUUGAUCCCCUACCACCUCUCAGAUGAGGGCAAGGAUUUUGUGUGGCAAUGUCUACAACGCAAUCCAUUCCAUCGUCCAACAGCUUCUCAGCUCUUGGAACAUCCCUUUGUCAGGAGUAGCGUUCCGGUGGAAAGACCCAUUCUAAGUCUUGAACCUGCAGAAAUAAUACCUCCACUCAUGCCUACUGUGAGAUCAGUGGCCGUCGGACAAUCACCUAAGCAUAUGAGUGGGAGACUCUCCCCCUCCAUCAUAUCAAGCCCCCGUGCUGUAUCUGGUUCAACAACACCUCUUAGUGGUGGCGGUGGUGCUGCUCCACUAUUUAACUCAAUGACCUAUUCAUCAGAAGGCAUAGGAACUUCUUCAAGGGCCCAAAGAAGCUUUCACCCUAAUGGUGAAACUAGUCACGAUCUGAAUCCUGACAUGUUUCGAGGGACUUCUCAAUCCCAUUUGAUCCAAGAAACACUUCCAUCUGACAAUGGUUUUGUUGGAGAUAAUUUUGGGGGCCCGGCUCAAAGGGGCGUGACUGAACAACCAUAUCAGGGACAGUCAGUAUUAGCUAAUAGGGUUGCGCAGCAGCUCCUGAGGGAUCAAGUAAAAUUGGGCCCAUCGUUUGACCUGAAUCCUGGCUCUCCAGUAUUUGGUCAGGAUAAUGGGGUUUAACUUGUAAAAGCCACCUGAAAAAAGAUGGAUGCGCGUGAAAUAUCUCUUGGAACAAUUGCACAGUAACUAUACCAAAAAGUCUGGUUUACUGAAUAAAAGUUUUGGAGCAGAUGAAAGGAGAAGGCGGUCACAAAAUACCAAUUUAUUUGCUGUUAGUUGCUAUUAUCACCGCCCAAGGAGCCAUGCAGCAGUAUAUUACAAUGACGUAUAAUUCAACUGGUUCAGAGAAGUUUAUAGUUUUGGUUCCACUUACAUGAUAGAGAGGUUGAAAUACAAGGAGGCAAAUGUGAAAAAAUUGUCGUACUUUUGUACAGGAUGGACUGAUUUUAAAGGCUAGAUGGGGAAUCUCAGGCUUGCUUGUAAAAUAUUUAUUGGUAAUUGUUCAUAGUAAAGCUCUCUACUACUCGUUUGAGCUUUUCAGCAAAAGCCUGUUGUAUCUUGUAUGAUGGUUCCCUGUAAGCCAGGUAUAAUACAACUUUCAGUAAUAAUAGUAAGCUUUUGAAGUUGAAUCAUGAA